AUAUAUAUAUAUAACAGUAUAAAAAAAUGUUUACAAAUAUCUUAACUUGCAACGUGUGACAGGCUACACAUCAGUGUUGUCCAUCUUUAAUCGAGAAAUGCAUUCAGAACAUUUUAUGAAGUAUUGGCAGGCUGUACCUGACGUCUUACUUUCUUGCAACGAAAUCAAAAGAACUACAAACCAAUUAAAUUAAUUUUUA
Long non-coding RNA from Hydra vulgaris (swiftwater hydra), 199 nucleotides. RefSeq lists it as uncharacterized. The record is from RefSeq and is a predicted model, not a curated record. Lineage: Eukaryota; Metazoa; Cnidaria; Hydrozoa; Anthoathecata; Hydridae.